UUUCCGUAGGUGAACCUGCGGAAGGAUCAUUAACAAAUCUCUAUGGAGAAAAUCCAUAUAUACCAGUGAAUUUCUUUGUUUUCUUAAUUAAAAACAAAUGAUAUAUAAACUAUUUAAAAAGUCUUACAAAAAUUAAAAAAUUUAUAUACAACUUUUAACAAUGGAUCUCUAGGCUCUU
Molecule: unclassified non-coding RNA, 178 nt
Filed under: plant metagenome
Description: partial contains small subunit ribosomal RNA, internal transcribed spacer 1, and 5.8S ribosomal RNA
Source: RNAcentral